This 497-nucleotide ribosomal RNA is filed under the name uncultured bacterium. RNAcentral describes it as "partial 16S ribosomal RNA". It matches the Rfam family "Bacterial small subunit ribosomal RNA", at positions 28 to 507 of the family's 1533-position model. The record is from RNAcentral.
GAUGAACGCUGGCGGCGUGCCUAAUACAUGCAAGUCGAGCGAACGGACGAGAAGCUUGCUUCUCUGAUGUUAGCGGCGGACGGGUGAGUAACACGUGGAUAACCUACCUAUAAGACUGGGAUAACUUCGGGAAACCGGAGCUAAUACCGGAUAAUAUUUUGAACCGCAUGGUUCAAAAGUGAAAGACGGUCUUGCUGUCACUUAUAGAUGGAUCCGCGCUGCAUUAGCUAGUUGGUAAGGUAACGGCUUACCAAGGCAACGAUGCAUAGCCGACCUGAGAGGGUGAUCGGCCCCACUGGAACUGAGACACGGUCCAGACUCCUACGGGAGGCAGGAGUAGGGAAUCUUCCGCAAUGGGCGAAAGCCUGACGGAGCAACGCCGCGUGAGUGAUGAAGGUCUUCGGAUCGUAAAACUCUGUUAUUAGGGAAGAACAUAUGUGUAAGUAACUGUGCACAUCUUGACGGUACCUAAUCAGAAAGCCACGGCUAACUACGUG